GCCUAGCGAAUAUAGUGGUUAUGACCCUCGACUUGUGAUCGAGUGGGCUCGGGUUUAAAUCCCGAAUAAGGCA
This is a non-coding RNA of Trichonephila clavipes, 73 nucleotides long. The record is from the annotation of a GenBank genome assembly. NCBI's taxonomy places the organism in Eukaryota, Metazoa, Arthropoda, Arachnida, Araneae, Nephilidae.